GUGCCAGCAGCCGCGGUAAUACGGAGGGGGCAAGCGUUGUUCGGAAUUACUGGGCGUAAAGGGCGCGUAGGCGGAAUAUCAAGUUAGGGGUGAAAGGCCUGGGCUCAACCUAGGAACGGCCUCUAAAACUGAUAAUCUAGAGUCCGGAAGAGGAUGGCGGAAUUCCUAGUGUAGAGGUGAAAUUCGUAGAUAUUAGGAAGAACACCGGUGGCGAAGGCGACCA
This 223-nucleotide ribosomal RNA is filed under the name Isochrysis galbana. RNAcentral's name for it is "partial Bacterial small subunit ribosomal RNA". It matches the Rfam family "Bacterial small subunit ribosomal RNA", at positions 505 to 727 of the family's 1533-position model. The record is from RNAcentral. Lineage: Eukaryota; Haptophyta; Isochrysidales; Isochrysidaceae.